This 207-nucleotide ribosomal RNA is filed under the name uncultured bacterium. RNAcentral describes it as "partial 16S ribosomal RNA". It matches the Rfam family "Bacterial small subunit ribosomal RNA", at positions 568 to 774 of the family's 1533-position model. The record is from RNAcentral.
CUCGUAGGCGGUUUGUCGCGUCUGCCGUGAAAGUCCAGGGCUCAACUCCGGAUCUGCGGUGGGUACGGGCAGACUAGAGUGAUGUAGGGGAGACUGGAAUUCCUGGUGUAGCGGUGAAAUGCGCAGAUAUCAGGAGGAACACCGAUGGCGAAGGCAGGUCUCUGGGCAUUAACUGACGCUGAGGAGCGAAAGCAUGGGGAGCGAACA